This 215-nucleotide long non-coding RNA is filed under the name Setaria italica (foxtail millet). RNAcentral's name for it is "long non-coding RNA (SITA_LNC004951)". Lineage: Eukaryota; Viridiplantae; Streptophyta; Magnoliopsida; Poales; Poaceae. The record is from RNAcentral.
AUAGCAAGGGGGGAGCUCGAAGAGUGGUUCUGAUCUCUGGUACGGGAACCAGCUGGUGGUCUCCUCACUGAAGUUGUUAUAGAAGCAUCUGAAGUAUUCGGCUACCUUGGUGGCGGUGAACUGGCAACCAGAGAAAGCCGAUGCUGCUUCGUCGAAGGAGGUGCAUCGACGCCGUACGGUGGGGUUUUCCGCUGACUCAAUGUUGGGGAAAGUCA